GUUAUCUGCCGCACAGGCAGUUUAGAAA
Molecule: non-coding RNA, 28 nt
Organism: Megasphaera elsdenii
Lineage: Bacteria; Bacillati; Bacillota; Negativicutes; Veillonellales; Veillonellaceae
Source: Rfam